RNAcentral lists this ribosomal RNA (502 nucleotides) under uncultured delta proteobacterium. RNAcentral describes it as "bacterial SSU rRNA". It matches the Rfam family "Bacterial small subunit ribosomal RNA", at positions 376 to 872 of the family's 1533-position model. The record is from RNAcentral. Lineage: Bacteria; Deltaproteobacteria.
CGAAAGCCUGAUGCAGCAAUGCCGCGUGUGUGAAGAAGGCUGCGGGUUGUAAAGCACUUUCAGUGGGGAGGAAACAGUUGCGGGUUAAUAUCCCGCGACCUUGACGUUACCCACAGAAGAAGCACCGGCUAACUCUGUGCCAGCAGCCGCGGUAAUACAGAGGGUGCAAGCGUUAAUCGGAAUUAUUGGGCGUAAAGCGCGCGUAGGCGGUUUGGUAAGUCGGAUGUGAAAGCCCCGGGYUUAACCUGGGAAUUGCAUUCGAUACUGCCUGGUUAGAAUGUAGUAGAGGGAAGUGGAAUUCCGGGUGUAGCGGUGAAAUGGGUAGAUAUCCGGAGGAACAUCAGUGGCGAAGGGGAUUUCUUGGACUAACAUUGASGUUGAGGUGGGAAAGGGUGGGGAGCAAACAGGAUUAGAUACCUUGGUAGUCCACGCCGUAAACGAUGUCAAUUAGAUGUUGGGGGGUUUAACCCUUUAGUAUCGCAUAACGCAUUAAGUUGACCGC